AUGGCACAGUGCCAAUGCGGUGUGCUUCGAUGUGGAAGCACUGUAUGCUUGGAUGAGGGUAUUGUCGAGCUUGCUGAUUUCUGUGGGGCUGGGCAGGCGGUUGCCGAGUGGAAGACAAAGCAAUUGUCACAGUUUCUGGGGUAUGUUAGUUGUUUAGCAUAUAAUAUCUUCCAAAAAACUAAUCUUGGCCUUAUCAGUCUCAGGGCGAUGACAGGGACCGUUCCAUUUGAUGAGGCUCUUGCUGCCUGGAUCUCUUUAAGUAAGCCAUCUCUGUCCCAAGUUGAGGACCGUUUGGAGAAGAGGCCACCCAGGAUUUCUCAACGCUGA
This 327-nucleotide ribosomal RNA is filed under the name Triticum aestivum (bread wheat). RNAcentral's name for it is "partial small subunit ribosomal RNA". Lineage: Eukaryota; Viridiplantae; Streptophyta; Magnoliopsida; Poales; Poaceae. The record is from RNAcentral.